UGAACAACUUCAUUGUUAAUGAGGACUUUGUAGUGUUCAGUCCUAAAGAAAACACGUCUCACCAAGUCGUGAUCUAGACAAUGGUCCAAAUCUAUAAGGGUGUAGCCACAAUAAGGAACUAGGUGAGAAAGUUGGUUCAGGAGGCCCAGGGCAUAAGCAAUGUGAGUAAUUGUCCCACCUACACUGAUAGGUCCUACGGUAGAUAAUGCAAUACGCUAUAGGUUUUCUAUGAGGAAGGUUUCAGAUUUGAUAGGACGGGACUGGGUGAUGCAAAAGAGAAAGAAUAUCUCCUCUGCACUGACUCGUUAUUUUCACUUCUACCGAAAAAGGUUUGGGCUAAAA
RNAcentral lists this long non-coding RNA (342 nucleotides) under Lathyrus oleraceus (garden pea). RNAcentral's name for it is "Pisum sativum (pea) long non-coding RNA (PSAT_LNC033815)". The record is from RNAcentral. Lineage: Eukaryota; Viridiplantae; Streptophyta; Magnoliopsida; Fabales; Fabaceae.